GGCAGUAUAACCCAGUGGGUAGGGCACUGGACUGGCAGUCCAGAGACUUGGGUGCUAUCCUUAGCUCUACCA
This 72-nucleotide transfer RNA is filed under the name Chelonia mydas (Green sea turtle). It matches the Rfam family "tRNA". From Rfam's summary of the family: Transfer RNA (tRNA) molecules are approximately 80 nucleotides in length. Their secondary structure includes four short double-helical elements and three loops (D, anti-codon, and T loops). Further hydrogen bonds mediate the characteristic L-shaped molecular structure. tRNAs have two regions of fundamental functional importance: the anti-codon, which is responsible for specific mRNA codon recognition, and the 3' end, to which the tRNAs corresponding amino acid is attached (by aminoacyl-tRNA synthetases). tRNAs cope with the degeneracy of the genetic code in two manners: having more than one tRNA (with a specific anti-codon) for a particular amino acid; and 'wobble' base-pairing, i.e. permitting non-standard base-pairing at the 3rd anti-codon position. The record is from Rfam by way of RNAcentral. RNAcentral also lists the same sequence under 1 other name. Lineage: Eukaryota; Metazoa; Chordata; Testudines; Cheloniidae.